UCCGGAAUGGUGUAGUGGCUAGCAUUUCUGCCUCUCAUUAAUCUGUCCAUUCGAUAGGAAAUUUGUUCGCAGGAGACCGGGGUUCAAUUCCCCGUUCCGGAA
Molecule: non-coding RNA, 102 nt
Organism: Cadophora sp. M221
Lineage: Eukaryota; Fungi; Ascomycota; Leotiomycetes; Helotiales; Ploettnerulaceae
Source: the annotation of a GenBank genome assembly